UGGCGGCCAUCUUAGAGAGUUGUACUGACAGGAGGAGCUGAGAGACAAGGCCGGUGCUGCUGCUGUGAUUCCUAGCCAGGGAGGUGGGACAGAGACGCGACUACCUGGAGUAGGUUAGAGCCAGAGACCCUGGGAGACAGCUCCAUAGUGACAGAGCCCACCAUACUUCCAGCAGCAGUGUGAGUGACAGCGGCCAGCAGGCCCUCUGAGAGAAGUAGCUGGCUGGAGGAAGGAGCAGCCUCAUUAACAGUGUCUACAGUGCAAGCGUCCAGAGAGGUCUCCCAAUAUAACCUGGGUCCCACCGUGCUGGCCACUAUGAUAAAGGGGAGUGGAAAGAUCGGGAUAAAGGUGUUCGACAAUAAAGAUCACUUUCUGGAGAUAAAGUCCUUAGAACAACAUGGACAAAUCACCAAGAGUGGACUACAGAAAGGAGACAAAUUAAUAAAGAUCAAUAAGCAGAAUGUGGUGGGAUGGAGCGUCCUAGAUUUUCUGCAAUAUGAAAACAACAUCAAGCUGGGAAAAAACUAAAGAUCUUAGUGUAUCGUGGUCGCCAAAAGGGUCCGGCUCCAGCCGCAGGCGCUUCAUCAGAGGAAGUGUUGGAAGGGGAUUCCGCAUCUUCUUCAGCGCCAGAGACAGAAUUUGCAUUUGUCCAUGAAUACUUCAUAGGACAGGCAGCACCGGAUCCUCAUAGUGACACGUCUGACAACACCCACGCAGAUUGUGACGCAGUCAUACCCCCACAUAAUGAUGAAGUCUCCCACUCAGAUAGUGACACAGUUUCCAACGCAGAUAUUGGUGUAAUCCCACCCAGAGCCAGGAGAGAUAAUCCGGACAAGGAAAUGAAUUUCGUCAGCAGGUUUGGCAAUUUUGUGGAAGAAGCCCUCAGAGAGUGGGAUGAAUGCACACAGGAUUGCUGCUGCGCAUUAGGAGUCUUUGGUCUGUUUUGCCUUUUGUAAAGGUGAAUGUGAUGGCUCCUGGCACCCCUGCCCGUCACUUACAUCUCCACUACAGCUGCAGAGCCUCUUAAUGCCCAGACGGAAGGGCAGUCCUUCCAGCCAUGGUUCCCCAGAGGUUUCCCCCACCGGGGGUUUUUCCUCUACUGAGUGCUGAAGGAUCACUUAAAUUACCAUCAGUUCUAAAUAAAAUCUCUGAUCGGGGGGCGUGGCUUGGCUCGGCAUGGAGAAACAGCUGCAGAUUGUAGCUCCUCACCAACAUCCUGCUGAUAUAUCCUGCUCCCUGCCGCAUUCUCGGUGGAAAUUGCUCCACAGGGGUGUUCCAGUGUGCUGCAUCUUUUGGUGUUUGUGCUGUGUCUCUAGCUGCAGAAAAACCUCGGCAUUGCGGAGCUGCGUAGUGCGGCCUACAUCCUGGGUGUCGCGGCCGGCCUCGCUGCCUGAUAUUGUGCUGUGCACAGGCUCACUUCCGGCUACGGCUCUCCUCUGACCGCUCUGGCUGGCGGGCUGCUGAUUCGGGGACUGCUGGCGCUGAUUGGCGGUGGUGGGAGACUUCUCCAUCACCAGGAUUGACCGCAUGUUUACUGUGGUCAAACUUACCUGCUGCGGAUCCGCCACUUCUUCUACCCGACUGUCUACCCAAGCUGAAUGCGGUGCGGCUUCUUCUGAGUGCUGCUUCUAACUCCGUAUCUGUGCCGCUGCUGUCGCCUUAUAUUGGGAGCGGAAUCCUUGCAUUUUGGCCGACCCUGGGAGCAGCUUAUUGAGAGAGUGCUUUCCUGUCGCAGAGACGCCAUCUUUUGACCGGGCCCCUAGGAAACCGCAGAUCUAGGCACUUCAUUACUUCUCUCCUAUGCUUCCCUAGUGAGUGCACACUUUUUUUUUCACUAUUACGCUCUGCUGAACACUGAGGUCUCCUCUAUCAUGAACACACGGAACUGCCAUUUCUUCUGCGUUUUAUACCUCUGAUAUUGCCUGUUUGAGACUGGACCUUUCUAUUAUUUCUAUCUGCUAUUCAGUGCUUCUUUACAUACUACUGGCUUCGGUGAGGCACCCCCUGCAGCCAUGUUUAACCCUGCUAGUACCUCUGAACAUCUAAUCUCCUCUAUCCUGAAGGCUGUUAUGGAAUCUGAGAAAAGGAUUCUUGCUAUGUUUGGAGAAGAGACUGUUGCGGUGCCUGUUUCUCCUGAAGAGUCUGCCUGCCUACCUGUGUUGAUGCCCUCGGAGCCCUUGGGUGAGCCUGUGGAUUCCGCUACACAACAAAUUAUAAAUAAAUUGGGGGAGUUGCAGAUUAAUCCCAUGCGUAUUCGCCGUUAUUCCCGGUUGGCGAUGGUGCAUGGGAUGUCGGCGGCAGCCUCCAUCUCGUCAUUAGUGACUGUGUGGACCCACACUGCAAUCUCAUUCAGGGCCUCAAAAUGUGACUUUUUCCACACUGGAGAACUGUACUGUAUUUCAUUGCAGUCCGUUGAGGUGCUAGGGAGGGGGAUGGAUUUCCAUUCUGUAAUUUUUGUGGACUUGAGGCCUUUACUCUUCUCUACUUGGAUAAUGCUGUGCAAGAUGGCUGAUGACUCCAUUUCUUUGCUGGUUACUGUUUGUGAAUUGUUGGGAUAUGUGGUUCCGGAAUGGGCCCGUCCCCCAGACUGAUUUUGUUUCUUUUCAAGUCUGUAUACUGAUUCACUGUUGCCAGGACCCUUGCUAUGUUUUAUUUUCUCACUGAUUCUCUCUAAAAUAUUGUCAAUUUCCAUGCUUUUUGUAUGUCUUAUGAUUGGCAUAACUUUGUUAUUACAUAGUACCACACUAUAUUUAAUUUGAAUAUUCUUCAUUUAAGAGCUUUAGGGGUAUAUGCAAUUGCGGUCGAAUUCCCGAAAUUGUCGAAUUUCGGGAUUUUUUCGCCCAAAAAAAUAAAUCGUCAAUGCAAUUCAGUGCUUUCCGUCAAAAAAACGGACUUUCAAAAUUCGACUUUUUGAAAUUCGACUUUUGUCAAAUUCGACUUUUCUGCAAUGAUACAAGUGCUGCAAUUCGACCAAAGUGUAUUCAAUUUAAGUUUGGAAAUUCGACAACAGUGCUUUUAGAUAGUAAAUUCGUCAUUUUCAAUCCGCCACACUUUGGAGGGUGAAACCAAUAAAAAAAAAUGUAAAACAUGUUUUUUUUUUUUGUUUUUUUUUUGGGAAUAGCAUUAUCUAUUUAUAUUAGAAGGGAUUAGGUACUUGGUUUGUCUUUUUUGGUUGCACAAGUAUUAUUUAUAUAUUUUUAAAAAGAUUAUUAUUUUUUUUUUUAAUAGCUA
Long non-coding RNA from Pseudophryne corroboree (corroboree frog), 3231 nucleotides. RefSeq lists it as uncharacterized. Lineage: Eukaryota; Metazoa; Chordata; Amphibia; Anura; Myobatrachidae. The transcript has 4 exons. The record is from RefSeq and is a predicted model, not a curated record.